GAUGAACGCUGGCGGCGUGCCUAAUACAUGCAAGUCGAGCGAACAGACGAGGAGCUUGCUCCUCUGACGUUAUCGGCGGACGGGUGAGUAACACGUGGAUAACCUACCUAUAAGACUGGGAUAACUUCGGGAAACCGGAGCUUAUACCGGAUAAUAUAUUGAACCGCAUGGUUCAAUAGUUAAAGACGGUUUUUCUGUCACUUAUAGAUGGAUCAGCGCGGCAUUAGCUAGUUGGUAAGGUAACGGCUUAGCAAGGCGACGAUGCGUAGCCGACCUGAGGGGAUGAUCGACAACUCGGGAGAGAGGACGCGCACCCACCUCCUAAGUGAGGCACCACUAGGAAACCUACGGCAAGGGGCGAAGGCCAAACGGAGCAACGCGGCGUAAGUGAUAAAGAUCUUCGGAUCGUAAAUCACGGUUAUCAGGGAAUAACAAAGGUGUAAUUACCUAGACGCGACUUAACGUACCCUAAUCAGAAGGCCACGCUUAACUACUU
RNAcentral lists this ribosomal RNA (496 nucleotides) under uncultured bacterium. Its description in RNAcentral is "partial 16S ribosomal RNA". It matches the Rfam family "Bacterial small subunit ribosomal RNA", at positions 28 to 506 of the family's 1533-position model. The record is from RNAcentral.